GGGUUUCCCACUAGAAUCCAUCCUGUGAUCUUCUGUUUGAUCUGAAACAACAAAGAGUCUGUCAAAGAACACAAGUGCAGCCAACCCCCCACCAAAAUAUGCACGAAGCACCAGAAAACCUGUGCCACUGCUACCAAGAAGCAAAAGGCUAAAACGCAGCACAAGCCACCAAGUAAUGAUGAGAAUCAUCUUGGUCUCUCACAUGGCUUAACCAUGGAGCAUGAGGGCUCAAGGUCUCCUUCUGUUCUGCCUUCUUAAUUGAGGGACCCCCCUCACCAAAUCACUGCAAAGGAUCAGACCCUUUUCCUGUGACAGACGCAAGCCUACCUAAGACCCACUAAAAUCUGCUCCGACGCACCAGAAAACCUGUGCCAGUGCCACUAAGAAGUAGUGCCACUAAGAAGUAAAAGGCAAAAACACUGUCCAAUAUUUUACUGCAGAGAAUCUUGAGUCUUCAUUCUCCAGGGAUGGGUCAUGUGGGAGGCCGAGGACUCCUUCUGCCUCUUCAGAUGAGAGAUCCCCCUCACCAGACCCUUUUCCUAUGCCGGAAGCAAGACAGUCGGAGCUAAUGAUUUUAGAAAUAUAUGAUAUCUCAAAGCUGGGGGGGAGGAGACAUCCCAGACUGGGUGAAGAGAGCAAUGCACCGAACCCUGACAAACAGCCUCAUGUCAACGAUCAAUAUGAAUGGAAACAAAGGGAAGAGGGCUUUUGACGACUCCAACCUUUGCAGCGUCAUUAUAGCAAGUGUGUCCUGGCGAAUCAAAGGCUAGUGGCAGAAACACUACAGCCGACGUCAACUUGCCUGAAAUAUGCACCUGACCUCAAGGGGGAAAGUGGGAAGGUC
Long non-coding RNA from Coregonus clupeaformis (lake whitefish), 844 nucleotides. RefSeq lists it as uncharacterized. The transcript has 8 exons. The record is from RefSeq and is a predicted model, not a curated record. Lineage: Eukaryota; Metazoa; Chordata; Actinopteri; Salmoniformes; Salmonidae.